GAUGAACGCUGGCGGCGUGCCUAAUACAUGCAAGUCGAGCGAACAGAUAAGGAGCUUGCUCCUUUGACGUUAGCGGCGGACGGGUGAGUAACACGUGGGUAACCUGCCUAUAAGACUGGAAUAACUCCGGGAAACCGGGGCUAAUGCAGGAUAACAUGUUGAACCGCAUGGUUCUACAGUGAAAGGCGGCUUUGCUGUCACUUAUAGAUGGACCCGCGCCGUAUUAGCUAGUUGGUGAGGUAACGGCUCACCAAGGCAACGAUACGUAGCCGACCUGAGAGGGUGAUCGGCCACACUGGAACUGAGACACGGUCCAGACUCCUACGGGAGGCAGCAGUAGGGAAUCUUCCGCAAUGGGCGAAAGCCUGACGGAGCAACGCCGCGUGAGUGGUGAAGGUCUUCGGAUCGUAAAACUCUGUUAUUAGGGAAGAACAAAUGCGUAAGUAACUGUGCGCGUCUUGACGGUACCUAAUCAGAAAGCCACGGCUAACUACGUG
This 497-nucleotide ribosomal RNA is filed under the name uncultured bacterium. RNAcentral's name for it is "partial 16S ribosomal RNA". It matches the Rfam family "Bacterial small subunit ribosomal RNA", at positions 28 to 507 of the family's 1533-position model. The record is from RNAcentral.